AUGUAUUUAAUAUAAAUAGUAUUUUAAGUUUCCACCUUAAGAGCCUCGACCCUCGAGAAUACAUA
Molecule: transfer RNA, 65 nt
Filed under: Podura aquatica (water springtail)
Lineage: Eukaryota; Metazoa; Arthropoda; Collembola; Poduromorpha; Poduridae
Description: tRNA-Gly
Source: RNAcentral